ACUCCUACGGGAGGCAGCAGUAGGGAAUCUUCCGCAAUGGACGAAAGUCUGACGGAGCAACGCCGCGUGAGCGAAGAAGGCCUUCGGGUCGUAAAGCUCUGUUGUCAGGGAAGAACAAGUGCCGGAGUAACUGCCGGCACCUUGACGGUACCUGACCAGAAAGCCACGGCUAACUACGUGCCAGCAGCCGCGGUAAUACGUAGGUGGCAAGCGUUGUCCGGAAUUAUUGGGCGUAAAGCGCGCGCAGGCGGUCCUUUAAGUCUGAUGUGAAAGCCCACGGCUCAACCGUGGAGGGUCAUUGGAAACUGGGGGACUUGAGUGCAGAAGAGGAGAGUGGAAUUCCACGUGUAGCGGUGAAAUGCGUAGAGAUGUGGAGGAACACCAGUGGCGAAGGCGACUCUCUGGUCUGUAACUGACGCUGAGGCGCGAAAGCGUGGGGAGCGAACAGGAUUAGAUACCCUGGUAGUCCACGCCGUAAACGAUGAGUGCUAAGUGUUAGAGGGUUUCCGCCCUUUAGUGCUGCAGCAAACGCAUUAAGCACUCCGCCUGGGGAGUACGGCCGCAAGGCUGAAACUCAAAGGAAUUGACGGGGGCCCGCACAAGCGGUGGAGCAUGUGGUUUAAUUCGAAGCAACGCGAAGAACCUUACCAGGUCUUGACAUCCUCUGACAACCCUAGAGAUAGGGCGUUCCCCUUCGGGGGACAGAGUGACAGGUGGUGCAUGGUUGUCGUCAGCUCGUGUCGUGAGAUGUUGGGUUAAGUCCCGCAACGAGCGCAACCCUUGAUCUUAGUUGCCAGCAUU
Molecule: ribosomal RNA, 801 nt
Filed under: Mesobacillus foraminis
Lineage: Bacteria; Bacillati; Bacillota; Bacilli; Caryophanales; Bacillaceae
Description: bacterial SSU rRNA
Rfam family: Bacterial small subunit ribosomal RNA
Source: RNAcentral